CUGCUCGGUGAGUGAAGAGGAGAACGAGAGGGAGGGGGAGAGAGCAGCGCAGCAGCAGCGGGCAAGCCACCAGCCCCGAAACAACGAAAUAAAGGCGAACUUAGCUUGCAAACGGAAGAAUAAUGCACUUUUACGACAUGGGGGUUCGCACAGACCAACCGGGAUUUCGGCGAUAAGGCGGGGUCGCGUGUGGACUCUCUCCGAGGCGGCUGGAAACUCAAGAGGAAAGAAAACAACAACACUGGAAAAAGACGACAAUAAAACAACACUCCCCGACAAGUGGUCUGCCUUGAGCCGAGUGUGAAGUCCGGACUAAACAACGGGAAACAUUGGCGAAUCGAUAUUCUGUUUGACAUUGCGCGUGCUAAUUUGCAGAUAGUGUUUCUGAGUGAACUUUAAACUCAGGAAACAAUGAAGACAUAGCGAGCACGAAACUCAUCAAGUGUCUCGAGGCUGCCAGCCGUCCCGCUAGCGUUAGCUCGCCUCUCUCGUAGCGAGCGAAUGCGAGCUGAAGCUAACGCCCGCUAGUGCUAAGCUAAGUUAGCUCGUCGGCUAACGGCAGCUGGCUAGCUAAACGCGUUUCGAGAAACUUUUGGUGUUGUUUCCCCAGAGCCCAAACACUGAAGGAGGUUAGGAAGAACAGAGGGGAAGGGCAGGUUCCCUUCUGGACUUUCCCCCUCUACACAUUGUCCUAAUAUGAUGGCUACGGAGGUCAGCAGUGAGGAUACGGGCUUGGUCACGACAGGGACAGGGGUGGCAGACGGAGGAGGCCCGGAGACGGCCCCUUUCCCCUACUAUCCCAAGCCGAGCAGAGUGCGAGUCACUGAUUUGGGACAAGGACCAGCACCAACCCUUCGCCAAAACUCAAACCCCUUGUCGGACUCACCUCCCGACAUGAGUGUGACCUACCCCAUGUCUGCCGGGGAUGUGACCGGACCAGCGCUUUCCGCAACAGGGAGUGGCGGAGCAGGAGGUGGACAUUCAGUUUUACAAGGAACAAGUUCAGGGACCGUGGGCGGCAUUAGCUUCUCUCCCACUUCGGAGGGUCCAGCUAGUCGGAUUUCACCCACGUCAACAGCCCCGGAUGGACCCACUGACUUCCCCCCACUGCCCCCACCACCUCCUCCCCCUCCAGGUGGUGGGGUGCCCGGUGUCACUAUGGAUGAAAGCGACAUGCAGGAUGGACCGGAAUACGAGGAAGAAGAGGUGGUGUUCCCCCUUUCUGCACCUCCUACGAACCAGUGGUACCACGGUAAGCUAGACCGAAACAUUGCUGAGGAGCGGCUGCGCCAGGCCCGGAACCCUGGCAGCUACCUCAUCAGGGAGAGUGACCGCCGGCCUGGUUCCUUCGUCCUGUCUUUCCUCAGUGUGACCAAUGUGGUCAACCAUUUCAGGAUAAUUGCCAUGUGUGGGGACUAUUACAUCGGUGGGCGGCGGUUCUCUUCUCUAUCAGACCUGAUUGGUUACUACAGCUAUGUGUCUUGCCUGCUAAAAGGAGAGAAACUGCUAUCCCCAGUGGCGCCCCCUGAGCCUGUAGAAGACAGGAGGAGAGUCAGGGCCAUACUUCCAUACACCAAAGUGCCAGAUACUGAUGAGAUCAGCUUCCUGAAAGGGGACAUGUUUAUUGUUCACAAUGAACUGGAUGAUGGCUGGAUGUGGGUGACCAAUGUUCGCACAGAGGAGCAGGGCCUUAUUGUGGAGGAUCUGGUGGAGGAGGUGGGACGGGAGGAGGAUCCACAUGAGGGAAAAGCCUGGUAUCAUGGAAAGAUCACCAAGCAGGAGGCCUACAACCUGCUGAUGACGGUUGGCCAGGUGUGCAGUUUUCUAGUCCGACCAUCAGACAACACACCUGGGGACUACUCCCUCUUUUUCCGCACAAAUGAAAACAUCCAAAGGUUUAAGAUCUCCCCCACUCCCAACAAUCAGUUCAUGAUGGGGGGGAGGUACUACAACAGUGUCCAUGACAUCAUCGACCAUUACAAGAAAGAGCAGAUUGUCGAGGGCUACAACCUGAAAGAGCCAGUUUCAGUGCAGCACCAGGAACAAGUUCUUACUGACACAGUGGAUGGGAGAGAAAUUUAUAACACUAUCAGACGAAAAACAAAAGACGCUUUCUACAAAAACAUCGUCAAGAAAGGCUACAUCCAGUUCAACAAAGGAAAAGGCAAAAGAUGGAAGAACCUUUACUUUAUCCUGGAGGGUAACGAUGCCCAGCUCAUCUACUUUGAGAGUGAGAAGAGAGCCACCAAACCUAAAGGGCUGAUUGACCUAAGUGUGUGCUCCGUAUAUGGUGUGCAUGACAGUCUUUUUGGCAGGCCACACUGUUUCCAGAUUGUUGUACAGCACUUUAGUGAGGAACAGUACAUAUUCUACUUUGCAGGGGAGUCUCCAGAGCAGGCACAGGAUUGGAUGAAAUGCCUUCACACUUUUUGCAGUAACUUAAGAAAAACCACUCAGCCGACUUCCAACAAAAGGCUUCGACAGGUGAGCAGCCUGGUGCUGUAUGUGGAGGAAGCCCACAAGCUGCCCGGGAAAUAUUUUGCCAGCCCCUACUGUAACAUCUACCUGAACAGCGUCCAGGUGGCUAAAACUCACCCGAGGGAGGGGCAGAACCCCGUCUUCACAGAAGAGUUCAUCUUUGAUGAUCUUUCGAGUGAAAUCAACAGAUUUGAAAUCAGCCUGAGCAACAAAACAAAAAAAAGCAAAGAAAGUGACAUCUUGUUCAUGCGUUGCCAGCUGAACCGUCUGCAGAAGGGUCAGAUGAUUGAUGAGUGGUUCCCUCUCAGCUCCCACGUGCCUCUGAAGGGCAUCGAGCCAGGCUCUUUGCGUGUACGUGCCCGCUACUCCAUGGAGAAGAUCAUGCCCGAAGAGGAGUACAGCGAGUUCAAAGAGAUGAUCUUGCAGAAAGAGUUCCAUGUUAUCUACGCUCUGGCCCAUGUGUGUGGUCAGGACCGCACCUUAUUGGCCAGCCUCCUUCUGCGGAUCUUCAGACACGAGAAGGCUGAAGCCCCUCUACUCAGGACACUCAAUGACAGAGAGAUUAACGUGGAAGAUGAAGCCACAACAUUAUUCAGAGCGACCACACUGGCCAGCACUCUGAUGGAGCAGUACAUGAAGGCCACGGCCACGCCAUUUGUCCACCAUGCUCUCAAAGACACCAUCCUCAAGAUCAUGGAGAGCAAACAGUCCUGCGAGCUGAACCCUUCCAAACUGGAAAAGAAUGAGGAUGUGAACCUGAACCUGGCUCAUCUCCUCAACAUCCUGUCCGAACUGGUGGAGAAGAUCUUCAUGGCUGCGGAGAUUCUACCACCGACAUUGAGGUUCAUCUAUGGCUGUCUGCAGAAGUCUGUGCAGCAGAAAUGGACCACUAACAACACAAUGAGGACGAGGGUCGUAAGUGGCUUUGUCUUUCUAAGACUGAUCUGUCCUGCCAUCCUCAACCCCAGACUGUUCAACAUCAUUGCUGACCCUCCAUCUUCCGCAGCAGGCAGGACCCUCACACUGGUGGCUAAGUCUGUCCAAAACCUUGCAAACCUGGUUGAAUUCGGUGCUAAGGAACCCUACAUGGAGGGUGUGAAUCCUUUUAUCAAAAACAACAAACACAGGAUGAUCAUGUUUCGGAUAGUUGGGGAACGUCCCUGACCUCCCUGAAGCCACAGAGCACUUUAGGACGGAUCUGUCCCGGGACCUGGCUGCGCUGCACGAGGUCUGUGCCUCACACUCGGAUGAGCUCCGGACGCUGAGCAACGAGAGGGGAGCACAGCAGCACGUGUUGAAAAAGCUGCUGGCCAUCACAGAGCUCCUCCAACAGAAGCAGACUCAGUAUGCCAUGUCCAACAGCAACAGGUAGUACUGCACUCCUCGUCUCCUCAUCUUCUCAUCCUUCCGUCAAGUCUCCUCCACCGGAGUGCAGCGCAGAGGAGACCUAGCAUGCUCUACCCUCAUCACCAUGGCAACCCCUCCAUCAAUCGUCCCGCCCAUCCCCACCCACAUGCCAUUGUGUCCCGUUCACCACAAGAAAGCUAUGCAACAAUCAACGCCGUACCUAAAAGCAUAUUAAAAACAAAGAAACGUGCACCUGUGACUGACAGCUGUAUGCACAGGAAACAUUUUACCCUCAAACUGUGUUCAGUAUACUGACUUGGGAUUCAUUCCCUUCAUCAUGAGGGCCAAAUAUUAAGAUUUUAAGAGUUUCUUUGUACCCACUGUGUUCUGAUAGCACAGGAUGCCAAAGUGUACCCCCCUCCCCCCCUCCUCUCAUCCCUGCUCAAUAUGAGGAAACUGACAAGAAGCUAGUUCUCAGUCCCCUUUUCUUGUAACUGGAUUAUGAGCGAUAAAGCUUUUUAUAUUGUAAUUGACUGAUUUUAUUUUAAGGUUGUGACAAUAUCCGCAAAGUGCUGAAACUAGCAUUUCUGUCUGUUCUUUUUUCUUUGUUUUCUAGAUUGAAACAAAGUUUUUCAGUAAAGUAUGGUUAUUUUAUAUUAAGAAUAAAUUCUCUUGCUGGAAUCAUGAGUAUAUAAGUGAGAUGAGCUGAAUUUUUUUUCUCAGAUUGUAUCGGCUAUUUUGAUUAUUUGGUCUUUUUUGAAACUUCUCAAUGCCAGACAAGACACAUAAUCAGAGAAACCAAGUAAAAUGAAAGUGUUUACAGCAGCAAAUUUUUUUGAAUAGUACAGAUUGUAUCAGACUUGCAUGCACUUAUUAAACAGUUUUUGUAAAGUA
RNA transcript from Cyclopterus lumpus (lumpfish), 4719 nucleotides. It is a transcript of the gene named ras GTPase-activating protein 1-like, with no coding region annotated. The transcript is spliced from 25 exons. Lineage: Eukaryota; Metazoa; Chordata; Actinopteri; Perciformes; Cyclopteridae. The annotation marks the transcript as partial. The record is from RefSeq and is a predicted model, not a curated record.